GACGAACGCUGGCGGCGUGCCUAAUACAUGCAAGUCGAGCGGACCAAAGGGAGCUUGCUCCUGGAGGUCAGCGGCGAACGGGUGAGUAACACGUGGGCAACCUGCCUGUAAGACUGGGAUAACAUCGAGAAAUCGGUGCUAAUACCGGAUAAUAAAAAGAACUGCAUGGUUCUUUUUUGAAAGAUGGUUUCGGCUAUCACUUACAGAUGGGCCCGCGGCGCAUUAGCUAGUUGGUGAGGUAACGGCUCACCAAGGCAACGAUGCGUAGCCGACCUGAGAGGGUGAUCGGCCACACUGGGACUGAGACACGGCCCAGACUCCUACGGGAGGCAGCAGUAGGGAAUCUUCCGCAAUGGACGAAAGUCUGACGGAGCAACGCCGCGUGAGUGAUGAAGGUUUUCGGAUCGUAAAACUCUGUUGUUAGGGAAGAACAAGUGCCGUUCGAAAGGGCGGCACCUUGACGGUACCUAACGAGAAAGCCACGGCUAACUACGUGCCAGCAGCCGCGGUAAA
RNAcentral lists this ribosomal RNA (513 nucleotides) under uncultured bacterium. Its description in RNAcentral is "bacterial SSU rRNA". It matches the Rfam family "Bacterial small subunit ribosomal RNA", at positions 28 to 524 of the family's 1533-position model. The record is from RNAcentral.